CUGUUGUAGAGUGAAACCGCGAAUGGCUCAUUAAAUCGGUUAUGGUUCCUUGGACCCAAAAUUUUACUUGGAUAACUGUGGUAAUUCUAGAGCUAAUACAUGCAUUUCAGUCGUGACCCGAAAGGGGAAGGACGCUUUUAUUAGAUCAAAGCCAAUCGGCCGGUUCGCCCGGUCGUUCCGUUUUGGUGACUCUGGAUAACCUUGGGCUGAUCGCACGGUCUCCGCGCCGGCGACAUGUCCUUCAAAUGUCUGCCUUAUCAACUGACGAUGGUAGGUUUUGCGCCUACCAUGGUUGUAACGGGUGACGGGGAAUCAGGGUUCGAUUCCGGAGAGGGAGCCUGAGAAACGGCUACCACAUCCAAGGAAGGCAGCAGGCGCGCAAAUUACCCACUCCCGGCACGGGGAGGUAGUGACGAAAAAUAACGAUACGGGACUCAUCCGAGGCCCCGUAAUCGGAAUGAGAACAUUUUAAAUCUCUUAACGAUUACCCAUUAGAGGGCCAGUCUGGUGCCAGCAGCCGCGGUAAUUCCAGCUCUAAUAGCGUAUAUUAAAAUUG
Molecule: ribosomal RNA, 556 nt
Filed under: Acheta domesticus (house cricket)
Lineage: Eukaryota; Metazoa; Arthropoda; Insecta; Orthoptera; Gryllidae
Description: SSU rRNA
Rfam family: Eukaryotic small subunit ribosomal RNA
Source: RNAcentral